This 445-nucleotide long non-coding RNA is filed under the name Carica papaya (papaya). RNAcentral describes it as "long non-coding RNA (CPAP_LNC003829)". Lineage: Eukaryota; Viridiplantae; Streptophyta; Magnoliopsida; Brassicales; Caricaceae. The record is from RNAcentral.
CCGGGUCACCUAUCCCUAUAUGUAUUGCUCCUCCAAGAAGAUCAACACAAAGCCCUAGCUUCAGAGCAUCGAUCGGACAAGUUGGUUGCUGAGGAGGAGGUGGUGGCCUCAUGCCACCUCCACCUCCACCUCCACCUCCACCUCCACCACCUCCGGAUGGUGGAUCACCACCUCCUCCACCUCCUCCACCUGAAUGAGGUCCGCCACCAGGACUGGGGCGACCACCUCCUCCGCCGCCGCCAGGUGGGGCACCUGGGUAAGGUGGGUAUGGAGAGUAAGGAGGAUAUACAACAGGAGGUGAUAUAACCGGUGGUGGAUUAAUAAUAAUAGGUGGCAUGAUUAUUGGUGGCCCUUUCCCGUGGCCUCCAUGGUGCGGUGGUUUCGUGUGUGGGGGUUUGGGAUGAGGAACUUUCGGGUGGGUAGGGCGGUGAUACGGUGGAUAUGG